UUUUUUUUUUUUUUUUUUUUUUUUUUUUUUUAAAAAAUUUUUUUUCUGUCUCUUAUUUUUUUACAUUUGAUUUUCUUUGAUUUAGUUGAUUGUACUGUGAAGGAUCAUUAAGUUUUAUUUUAGAAUAAUUGUUUUUUUAAGUACCUUUUGUAUCAGGGUUAACUAAUUUUUUUGAUUUAUUUUAAUUUCCCGAAAAUUUAAGAUUUACUUUUAUCUUUAAUUUAGUGUUGAAUAAUUAUUUAUAAGAUUUAAGUUGUUUUGAAAUGAAAUUCGUUUUUUUUUAUAUCUGGUUACCUGGGAUUCUGAUUCAAUCAGGGAUUUUUUUUUGUCUUUUUUAUUUUUUAUAUUCAUUUUAAAAUCUUAGAUUUGGGUGGAUAAGCUCCUUUUUUAUAUAUAAUUUUCCUUAUUAUUUUUUUUUGUUGGAUUGAAGUCUUUUAACAUUUUAAGUUCGUUGAAGAUUAAUUAUUUUUUUACUUUUUAUUUAUUUUUUUACUAGGUUUUUAAUAAUUUUUUAGGGUUUAAAAAUGGUUUUAUUAGUAAAUUUAAAAAUUUUUUUUAUGAACUCGGCAAAUAUUACUUCCGCCUGUUUAUCAAAAACAUGUCUUCCAGGGUUUAAUUGGAGGUUUGGCCUGCUCAAUGCAUAGUAAAUAGCCGCAGUAUUUUGACUGUGCUAAGGUAGCAUAAUAAUUAGUCUUUUAAUUGGGGUCUAGGAUGAAGGGUUAGACGAGAAGUAAACUUUAUUAUCUUAAUUUUAUUUGAAUUUUAUUUUUUAGUAAAAAAGCUAAAUUGUUGAAGAGGGACGAUAAGACCCUAUAGAUCUUUAUUUUUUUCCAUUUUUUUUUAUUUUAGUUUAUUUUAGAUUUUUUUUGGUUAUAAAUUUUGCUGGGGUGGUAGAUAAAAUUUUAAUCUUUAUUUUUUUUUUACAUUUCUUUAUGUGAUUUUGAUCCUUUUUUUUGAUUAUAAGAUUAAGAUACCUUAGGGAUAACAGCGUGAUAAUUCUGGAGAGUUCAUAUUGAUAGAGUUGUUUGCGACCUCGAUGUUGGAUUAAAAAUUUCUGUGAGGCAGGUUUUACAGUUUAGGGUCUGUUCGACCUUUAAAAUUUUACAUGAUCUGAGUUCAAGCCGGCGUGAGCCAGGUUGGUUUCUAUCUUCUUUAAUUUAAUUCUAAUUGGUACGAAAGGAUUUUUAGAAAUGUAAUAUUUUACUU
This 1206-nucleotide ribosomal RNA is filed under the name Pyrops candelaria (lantern bug). RNAcentral's name for it is "16S ribosomal RNA". The stretch from base 981 to 1138 matches the Rfam family "Archaeal large subunit ribosomal RNA", at positions 2542 to 2701 of the family's 2987-position model. Lineage: Eukaryota; Metazoa; Arthropoda; Insecta; Hemiptera; Fulgoridae. The record is from RNAcentral.